This 253-nucleotide ribosomal RNA is filed under the name uncultured bacterium. Its description in RNAcentral is "partial 16S ribosomal RNA". It matches the Rfam family "Bacterial small subunit ribosomal RNA", at positions 524 to 776 of the family's 1533-position model. The record is from RNAcentral.
UACGUAGGGUGCGAGCGUUGUCCGGAAUCACUGGGCGUAAAGCGCACGUAGGCGGCUUUCUAAGUCAGGGGUGAAAUCCUGGAGCUCAACUCCAGAACUGCCUUUGAUACUGGAGAGCUUGAGUCCGGGAGAGGUGAGUGGAACUCCGAGUGUAGAGGUGAAAUUCGUAGAUAUUCGGAAGAACACCAGUGGCGAAGGCGGCUCACUGGCCCGGUACUGACGCUGAUGUGCGAAAGCGUGGGGAGCAAACAGG